CCGGGGUGGAGGCGAGCGGACCACACCCCGGACUCACCUCCCCUCGACAUCCCGAAGAUGCCCUGGUUCAAGUGCUGGAAGGAGAACUGAUGCCAAAGCCUGCAUUUUGUUACCUUCUUUGGAAUCAUUGGGAAUAUCCCAAGUUUGAAGUCUGAUUUGUUUCUAUUGCUCUGGUUUGGGACACAUCCAUGGAAGCCUAGAAGAGGAGAGGAUUAUCCUUUUAAAUUUAGCCAUUUUCCAACCUUUUUUUUAAAUUUGCUUUGUUUUGUUUUCUUUCAGCAAAUGUGUUAAAUGCCUACCAUGUGUUAGGAAUUUUUACAUUAUGUCAUUUCAAUAAAUUAUGGUUACUAGUAAA
Molecule: long non-coding RNA, 355 nt
Organism: Homo sapiens (human)
Lineage: Eukaryota; Metazoa; Chordata; Mammalia; Primates; Hominidae
Source: Ensembl